CAAGCUACAAUUUUAAGUAAGGUAUCCCAAUUUUAAUAUAUGCAUCAUCAAUUAUAAUCUUUUUCACUUUCUGAAUUUACCAAUCUAUUCUUUGUACUACCAAGAUUCAAGCAACGCAAGGAAAGGAUCAUGUCAUGUCGUAGCGGUGCGCAGCCAGCGCAUAGCGUGAUUGCUGCGAACUCCACAUUUCGCCACUGACGCCAGUUGCCACCUGAUCAACCAACACUCGCCCCAUCUGGCACCGCACCGUCGAGAUGGACAUCCCCGUCCUCACAUUCGAUGCCGCAUGCAGGGCAAGAAGGGAUUCUUUGCAAUUACGGUCAUAGCCUUUGUCAUCGACAUUGGCGGGAUUUGCCCAGGCUGUCGGUGCCCGAAGGUGAAUGCUCUCGCCAAUCAACAGUAAGCCCAUCUGGUCUCGCAUCUCCGUCACCAUGGCUAGCCACUAGCACAGACCAUGAUGUUACAGCAUUCAGCGGUGUGGAUGGAGAGUCUUUUACAAUGACAUUUCUUCUAAUUUGAGCGAUGAAUGCAGACCAUGGCCGUCCGAAACAUCGUGAGACACGGCAGUGGGGCAGCUAAUGCUCAUUGACGCUAACUAAAAUAUAUGUUAAUUCUCAGUCACUGAGGUUAACAGAGUACAAUUUCUGCUCACAUUAUGUUAUCCCUUCAUGGUCUGUCAUUAAUGAAUAUUUUUCCAUUUCAUUACAUAAUCUUUGACCACGAUGCAUUCUACUAUCACAACUAGACCACUGGUGCUUCAGUUUUUUUUAUCAAGGCAAUUCAGUUAUUGUAAUGCACAACAGCACAAACGGGUGAGUUUAC
This 822-nucleotide long non-coding RNA is filed under the name Triticum aestivum (bread wheat). RNAcentral describes it as "long non-coding RNA (TAES_LNC005366)". Lineage: Eukaryota; Viridiplantae; Streptophyta; Magnoliopsida; Poales; Poaceae. The record is from RNAcentral.